AUUUGGGAAGAAAAAUCUGAAUGAAGGGAAAAGAGCUGAGAGUGAGGAUAUUCCCAUGACAGAAUGGACAAGAAGAGAAUACUAAUGAGCUCCAACUCCCACUUCAUGCUGAGUGCGGUAGAUUAUAAAAAUGCUUACAAUUAUUCGCCUCUCUGCGUUCACUUCCAUUGCAGUUCCUCCCCUCAAGAUAUGGGGUCUUCUUCCCUACUCCUUGAAUCUGGGUUGUCUACGUGACCGGCAUUAGCCAACGGAACAUCGACGGGGGAGACACAGGCAGAGGUUCGAAAAGGACUUCCGCUUUGGGGCUCGUCCUCUCGCCCCACUCAGAACCAUGAGAGCGUCAUGUGGAUGAGCCUGAACUAACCUGCUGGAGAGGUUCCAGGGAGUACAACUGGGGCACUCUGGCCAACGGCCGGCCAAGCACGGAACAUCCGAGAGAGAUCCUUCUUGAUCAUCCAGCCCACCGGAGAAUCGCAGGCGCGUGAGCAAGCACGCCAAAGAAGCCAUACUCAGCCAACACGCCAGAUUGACAGCUAAAUAACAUAGGAAGGUCACAAACCACAGAUAUGAAGAGUUUCUUUAUGGCGAGCAGGGAGGGACAAACAGCACUGCCUCAUCGAAGACCUACGGCAACGAGGCACCACCAGGACCACAUGUGGUAUAGAUCACUCAAGGUGGCCACUGGGAAUAAGACAGAGAAACAGCAGAGUCAGGCCUGGGAGGCAGAUCUGCCCCCAUUCCCCAGCUGGAGGCUCGUUGUUACGGGAGAAGAACAACACUGUCUGGGUGGAGGGAAGGCAUCCGAGCGUGCACCUUAGAGCCCUCCUGGACAGCAGAAGCUUGGACGGCGCCUCCCUCCGAGAGCAGCUUCUGUACCUUCCUUCGAGCGCCUGGCUUACCUGGCUAACAUGGGCUCGCCUCAAAGACACGGAGGCUCCUUGGCGAGCUCCUGGAACACAGAGCUUGGACUCUCAUUUCUAUCUGCGUGAUCUCCACCUCCCAGGCUCCUGUGUGCCCCAGGCUUGGCCUUAUCAGGCCCCUUAUUCGGCCUCGGGGCUGCCUCACCCCUAGAUACCUGUCCUCAAUUCUGUCCUCUGCCCCCCAACAUCCUUCUCAGGCCCAGAACCUUCCACGUGUACCUCUCCACAGGCCAUUCCAAUGUUUUUUGCCUUCCUCUCAGGACGCCUAUGGAUGCCCUUUGAAUAGUCACAGAAGCUCCCUUCCUCCAAAAAGCCUCCCGUCUCUCCCUCCACUGAGUCACAAAGUCUCUGAGCACGAGGGCCCCUCUGGAGAUGCCAUGCCCAAGAGCAGGCAUCUCUUCUUUCCUCGUGCCCUCCUUCCUGUCUUCUGGAGACAGGGCCCUCAUCGUCGUUUUCCUUCUUGCCCUCCUUUACCUACCGCCUGCCUCCAGCUUGGGAAUGGGGUGUCCAGGGACUCCCCGUGAUCGACGACGGCAGGCCGCGGGGCAGCCGCGACACAACUGGAACGAAUCGACCAAGGCCGAAUGCUAACUGCCUCUGGCCACCUCUCCUCUUGGGCCUCUCUCUCAGGCCCCAGAAACACUAAAGGUUCAGGUCCUAAAAUCCGAACUCCCGGGCCCACAAAUCAUCAUUUCCAGCCUGAAAGAGGCACCCAACCCAACCUAAUACUCCUGUAUUCCUGGGCACAGCAUGGUCAUUAAAGCUGCCCUCCCUCCUGAACUCAGGGCGCUUUCACUGCUGCUCUCCUCUGACCGUCCCGUGAGUGGUGGUCCAAUAAAUGGUCCAGGAGGCUCAAAGGGAGACCUGGGUGUUCCCUGGACCUGUGGGUCACUGGCGGUUCAUUCUGGGCUCCGGAUCCAAAGGAGCUGGGGGUAGGUUUCAGCCCCCAAAGUGGAGGCCAGACCUCCCACAUCCAACAACCACAAGCCAGAGAUUGCUACGGUGAACAGAAGCAGCCUGAGCCCCGAUGUGCCCACACGUGUCCCAGAUAGGAUUUUCCCUCCCAGAAGAAACUGCCCAGAGCCUGUUCUUUUGAAAGGCUUGUC
Molecule: long non-coding RNA, 2026 nt
Organism: Acinonyx jubatus (cheetah)
Lineage: Eukaryota; Metazoa; Chordata; Mammalia; Carnivora; Felidae
Exons: 3
Source: RefSeq, a predicted model, not a curated record